RNA transcript from Capra hircus (goat), 861 nucleotides. It is a transcript of the gene named cytochrome c pseudogene, with no coding region annotated. The record is from RefSeq and is a predicted model, not a curated record. Lineage: Eukaryota; Metazoa; Chordata; Mammalia; Artiodactyla; Bovidae. The transcript has a single exon.
AAGCGGGACGUUCGGCUUGUGAGCGGGAACUUCUCGGUCGUGCACAGAAAAAGAACGAUUUUAAAAUGGGUGAUGUUGAGAAGGGCAAGAAGAUUUUUGUUCAGAAAUGUGCCCAGUGCCAUACUGUGGAAAAGGGAGGGAAGCACAAGACUGGGCCAAACCUCCAUGGUCUGUUUGGACGAAAGACAGGUCAGGCUGCUGGAUUCUCUUACACAGAUGCCAACAAAAACAAAGGUAUCACCUGGGGAGAGGAGACGCUGAUAGAAUACUUGGAGAAUCCCAAGAAGUACAUCCCUGGAACCAAGAUGAUCUUUGCUGGCAUUAAGAAGAAGGGAGAGAGGGAGGACUUGAUAGCUUAUCUCAAAAAAGCUACCAAUGAGUAAUAGUUGGCCACUGCCUUAUUUAUUAUGAAACAGAAGUGUCUCAUGACUUUUUAUGUGUACCAUAUUUAAAUUGAUCUCAUACACUAGAAUUCAGAUCAUGAAUGGCUGAUGGAAUAAUUCUGUUGGACAGUCCUGAUUUAAAUAAGAUUGGUCUGUGGCUAAACAAAUAUGGUCAGCAUUUUUAAUUUUGAUAGUAAUUCUGGUUCAACAAGUACUAUCACUUUUCCCAUUCUAAAGAGAUGAUUGAACUUGAAUAAGGAACAUGAAACUUUUUAGGGAGAUGGUGCAUUCCUUCUCAAAACCUGUAAGAGAUUGGUUUUAUAUUUAGAUUUCUAUAACUGGUUAUAUUAAUAUAUUUAAAUACUGAAAAGGUCCCUUCACUGUCUCAUAGAACAGAGGAGGAUUCACAUGUGUUUCAAGUUGUGUUCAUUAGCCUGUUAAGGCAAGGAUUGAAAAUACACUGACAAAGUCCACUUUA